This 763-nucleotide ribosomal RNA is filed under the name Listeria monocytogenes. RNAcentral's name for it is "bacterial LSU rRNA". It matches the Rfam family "Bacterial large subunit ribosomal RNA", at positions 1 to 758 of the family's 2925-position model. Lineage: Bacteria; Bacillati; Bacillota; Bacilli; Caryophanales; Listeriaceae. The record is from RNAcentral.
UUGGUUAAGUUAGAAAGGGCGCACGGUGGAUGCCUUGGCACUAGGAGCCGAAGAAGGACGGGACUAACACCGAUAUGCUUUGGGGAGCUGUACGUAAGCGUUGAUCCAGAGAUUUCCGAAUGGGGGAACCCACUAUCUUUAGUCGGAUAGUAUCCUUACGUGAAUACAUAGCGUGAGGAAGGCAGACCCAGGGAACUGAAACAUCUAAGUACCUGGAGGAAGAGAAAGAAAAAUCGAUUUCCUGAGUAGCGGCGAGCGAAACGGAAAGAGCCCAAACCAAGAAGCUUGCUUCUUGGGGUUGUAGGACACUCUAUACGGAGUUACAAAAGAAAGUUAUAAAUGAAGCGGUCUGGAAAGGCCCGCCAAAGACGGUAACAGCCCGGUAGUUGAAAUGGCUUUCCCUCCAGAGUGGAUCCUGAGUACGGCGGAACACGUGAAAUUCCGUCGGAAUCCGGGAGGACCAUCUCCCAAGGCUAAAUACUCCCUAGUGACCGAUAGUGAACCAGUACCGUGAGGGAAAGGUGAAAAGCACCCCGGAAGGGGAGUGAAACAGUUCCUGAAACCGUGUGCCUACAAGUAGUUAGAGCCCGUUAAUGGGUGAUAGCGUGCCUUUUGUAGAAUGAACCGGCGAGUUACGAUUUGUUGCAAGGUUAAGCGGAAAAAGCGGAGCCGUAGCGAAAGCGAGUCUGAAUAGGGCGCAUAAGUAACAGGUCGUAGACCCGAAACCAGGUGAUCUACCCAUGUCCAGGAUGAAGGUAAGGUA